GAAGCUGAAGCUGAAGCACAAGCUGCUGCUGAAGCGGAAGCUAAAGCCGCUACUGAAGCACAGAAUGCUCUGACUCAGGGGGAGUCCUCCACUUUUGCCCCUCUGGUUCUCAGAACCCUUGAGGAGCUUCAGAAAGAGCAGAAGGAAGUCCGAGCCAGAUUGGAUCAACAGGACACAGUCAACGCCAACAUCCAGAACCUGCUGACUCAACUGCUUCAGAGAAUGCCUCCUC
Molecule: long non-coding RNA, 232 nt
Filed under: Lathyrus oleraceus (garden pea)
Lineage: Eukaryota; Viridiplantae; Streptophyta; Magnoliopsida; Fabales; Fabaceae
Description: Pisum sativum (pea) long non-coding RNA (PSAT_LNC029414)
Source: RNAcentral